AUGAACAGGAGCAAGAAGUUAAACGAUAAUUUCCUGAAGUUACUAAACCACGCCUUAAACUAUAAGAGAGCAGGUUUAAAAUAUUAAAUGGAAAGCAAAACAUGGCUCAAGUAUGUUAGACCCCAAAAUCUUAACUAAUAUGCAUUUGGACCAUGGCCAUGAAAGGAACAUCCACAACCAGACAGUUUCAGCUAAUCAACUAAGUGUCAUAGUCCUUAAUUAACACACAUUAAAAGCCUAAAUAGCCUUGAAUCAACUACAUUUAAAGAAGCUCAAAUGUAAGCCUCAAAACAGAAAUGAAACGCAUAUAAGAAGCUAACUAAAACAUGAAGAACAACAUGGAAAAAUUAAACACAACAAGGACUGAUAUUUUUAUUUAAUCCCAACACGCUCACAAUUCUUUAUACAAAGAUUAAUCAGGCUUCAUUUCCUUCAUGGUUCAAGAGGAUGCCUGGAAAAACAACAAAAAUAAGAAGAGUGAAUUAUCAGCAACAACAUAACAGUGUCAGCAACAAUGCAACAGCGAUAACCAGCUGGAACAAACCCAAGCUUCAAACCAAUUCCAAGAAACUCAAAUCAAACUUCUAAACCCAAAUUCAAUCCAUUUCCGCCCAGAAUACAAAAGUAUGAAGUUUACAGUUCUAUUAGGAUUAGAAGAACCAAAACCCAAGUAGAAUUUCAAUAGUUUGUCAGAGAACUCCAGAAAUGCUAAGUUAUUUCAGAAUUUCUUCAAGGAAGCAAGUCGUUUCAAUUUUUGGAUGGUUUCUUUUCUCUCAAAAUCUAACUUGAAUAUAAAGUAAUGGUGCCUUUAUAGGCAAGCUAUUAAGGCAGCCUAAAAGAAAUCAGAUUUGCACUUUGCACCAUUUGAUAUUAUUAUUUUAUCUUAGGUACCAUUAAUGUAAAAUUCAGAAUUUUAAUUUACUCCCCACCCCAGCUUCCUAGGCAGUUACAAAAAGAUUCCUCUUAUUAAAUUCCUAAAUAAACCCUUUAAAAGUUUUGUUUUUAUUUCAGCAAAAUCACAUGUCAAAUUACCCCAAGCCCCACCCCAAACCCAUGGGUCUGUAUACUAACAACCCAAACUCACAAACUUCAAACCAUUAAUCAACGAGCAAUGAUGCUCAAAUGAACAGGGUUGUUAAUGUCAAAAGAUGCAGGGAGGGAAAAUAAAUAAGUUUUAGAGAACUUAAAUGAUUCAAUCAAAAACAACAACAAUUUGAAACCAAACGAGUGAAUCAAACAAAAAUAAUGAACAAUGACUUAAGAGAAUUUGACCCCAAUUAUAUUCUCAAAUGCAAUAUUGACUGGGGUAAGAAAAGAAACGAAAAUGACACAAAGGAUAAGAAACACGCACUAACUAACGGAGAAGCAUCUCUCAACAGACUUGUUGUCCUUGGCCUUGCAUGAGGUCGAUGGCCUUUGAAAUGAAUCGAAGUCCAUGCUAGUCACUCAUUCUCGAGGAGUAAAAUCGAGUGGCAUAAAAUUUGAACCAUUAUCGGCCCAGAAGCUUGAACUUGACAAGGGGGCAGGAUUAGGGUUCAUGGGACUUGAAUCUUUGAUCUGAGAUUCGACGAGCUAGGCUACGAUUCACGGGUAAAAGGUUGGAUUUUUGGGAUGGGGAGAUGGAGAGGGUUCUAGGGUGUGAAUUAUGGCCAGUUUGGUGGUGGCGCUGCCACCGGAGGAUGGUGGAAUCAUGUGGCGGCGCUAGGGUGGUAUGAGAGUAUCUGAGGAUGAAAUGAAUGAGAGAGAUGGGUUUGGGGG
Molecule: long non-coding RNA, 1758 nt
Filed under: Nicotiana benthamiana
Lineage: Eukaryota; Viridiplantae; Streptophyta; Magnoliopsida; Solanales; Solanaceae
Description: long non-coding RNA (NBEN_LNC032462)
Source: RNAcentral